RNAcentral lists this long non-coding RNA (2948 nucleotides) under Daucus carota (carrot). RNAcentral describes it as "long non-coding RNA (DCAR_LNC000576)". The record is from RNAcentral. Lineage: Eukaryota; Viridiplantae; Streptophyta; Magnoliopsida; Apiales; Apiaceae.
ACAAAAGGGUGUGCACAGAAAUAGAGGGAACUAAAGAUCUUCUUACAGUACAUCCAAGAAUUUUUUGGAAAGUGGUAUCUUGAAGAAGUGGUAAUAAGAGCCCAUGCCAGAUAAAUUUUAUCUGUAAACUUGAAUUAUACACCUCUUGCUUCACCCCUUUACUCAUUUCUUGAAAUAUAAUUCAUACAUAUUUAUUCCCUGCUCUCUCUUUCAUUUCUGGUGAAUAAUGUUCAAGAAUCACUGGUAUGUUCUCUUAGCCUGAACCUNUUGGAGAUGCUCUAACCUCUUUAUUUAGGCUCCUAAUUUGAGAUUUGAGGAGGGAGAGGAAAAAUGUUGCUCCAAGACUCUUAAGUGGCUCUUAAAUCACUAAGAGCCUCUUAUUUCUCUCUCCUCUCUCCUCAAAGUUAAGAGCUACUACAUUGCUCCUAACUUAUUUUUUCACAAUAAAAAAGUCCUUCCCUCCAAUUCACCUCCAUCUUUCCAUCUCUUUUGUUAUAGUGGAGCCCAAAUAUGAAUAAAAUAUGAAAUAGAGAAGAGAUGUAGAGAGUAUUGUUGGAGUUUACACUCUUAACUUUGUCCUAAAUUGCUAAGAGCCACAUUUUUUAUAUUAUAUUUAGGAGCCAACAAGGAGGCUCUUGGAGAUGCUCUAAGGUAAGCAAGCACAAACACAAUUAUUUUAAAUUGUGAUUUCAGUAUUAUCUAUUAGCUUAAUUGGGAAGUAUGGUCAAUAUAAGAAGAUGCUGGUGGGGAGGGGAGGCGCCAAUAUGAUACUAACUUAAUUAUAAUCCUUCUUAAUUGUCACACUUUGAAGUUUUCAGGUACAAUAAUCUUUGUUAAUUGAAUAGUGACAGGCACCUUGCUAUUGAAUGAUUAGACAAUUAAGGUGGCUUUCACGUUUCCUUAAAGUGAAUUUAUAUAAAACUAUCUUGUUAAUUUGGUUAGUUUUUAAGAUCCUCGAGUAAUAAUAUGUAUUCCGAAUGUUGUUUUUAUACUUUUUUAUAAUAUAACGUAACAGACAAAUUUAAACCAGUAUAUUAUUAAUUUCGACCGUAAGCUGUAACCAAUCAUAUGUUAUCAAUUAGAUUCAGCAAAAAAUAAAUUUAAAAACACUUUUUAGAUAUCCGUCAUUUUCAUUAUUAUAUUUAAGAGAAAUUGGUAUAUUGGUCUAAAUUAGACACAUUAUUGAAAUUGUUCUGCCGCCGUUUUUUAGUUUUGACUUUUUUCUGAUCAAUCAAAUUUUAAUUGAAAUUUAUGUAUAUUAUAUAAUGAAAAAAUUGAAAAAAUAAAUUAAAUAAAAUAUAUAUAGUUUACUUUAGAACAAUAUUUAAGCGUCCUAAAAUUACAUAAAUAUACUCCCUCUGGUCUCUUAAGUUGUACACGCAGCGGAACCGGCACACACUUUAAUCCUUCUACUUAAUUCUAUUCUAUACAUUCACUAUCUGGCACGCACUUUAAUGCUUCCCUAAACUAUUAAAUUUUAUUCAGAAAAGAAAAUUUAAAAAUAAGUUAUAAAACUACAUUUUAUUGGGCAUUAAAGUGCGCGUCAAAUAGCGAACGUAUAGAAUAAAUUGGGACGAAGAGAGUAAUUUAUAAAAUCAAUUUAAUGAACCACACGUCAACUCUAAACAUGUAAAUAUCGAAAACGAAUAAUAAUUUUACAGUAGAGUAAGUAAAAUAUUAUUUGAUAUAUAUUAAAUAAUAAUUUUUCCAUUAAACGAACUCACAAUUUUGAGCAAGGCCUUUUCUCCUCUAUGUAAGAAAUACACGUGCUUACGUUAUGUUGAACCUUGAUUCAGAUCUCUUUCGCUAAUAUAAUGAAUUAAUCAGUUAAAUCACAGAUCAACUUAUUAAAAUUUAUGCAAUAAUCACACAAAUUGGCAAUUUCAGAUCUACACAAAUCAGAAAAUCGAGAAUUUUUAGAAAUAUACAACAAUUUAGAGUGGUAUAUAUGUGAUAUAUGUCAAAAAAGUACACUGGACAUGAUGGCUGUGGACCGGGGGAGCACAACUACGAAAUGUACAAUUAGAGCUGGCGUAUCUGACUCGAAAAGAAUAUUAGAGUACUAUUCUCAACAUUAUUAUUAAAGUUGACAAUGAAAUCUAAAAAUAAUUUAAUGUUGUUCUCCUUGCAUUCUCUGUUAAAUUCAUCAACUUUUCAGUUCUUGAACUGCAACUCUGAUCAAACAGUAUCUUAACAGCCUCUUCUACCAGAUACACAUAAAAAUUUAGAUUUAUUUCCCUCUUUUCUUCUGAUGAAUCUUUCUUUAUUUGUCUUAUUACAAAAGGGUGUGCACAGAAAUAGAGGGAACUAAAGAUCUUCUUACAGUACAUCCAAGAAUUUUUUGGAAAGUGGUAUCUUGAAGAAGUGGUAAUAAGAGCCCAUGCCAGAUAAAUUUUAUCUGUAAACUUGAAUUAUACACCUCUUGCUUCACCCCUUUACUCAUUUCUUGAAAUAUAAUUCAUACAUAUUUAUUCCCUGCUCUCUCUUUCAUUUCUGGUGAAUAAUGUUCAAGAAUCACUGGUAUGUUCUCUUAGCCUGAACCUUUUUUUUUUUAAUUUAUUAUUAUGCUUGUUUAGAAUUCUUUGGCAAUUUAUCAGGAUUUUGUUGAAUAAUUGUGUUAUUGUCUUGUUGGUAUAUGGGUUUUGAUUAUUUGAAGCAUCUGUUAGGAAAUUAGUAUGCACUGUUAUGUUACCUGGUUAAGAGGUUGAGAAGGGUUCGAGAUUUGGUGGAGGGCCUGGAGGCAUGUGUAUAAGUAUUUAAAAAUCUGGAAUUCGACCAUUAUGAAUAAAGGAGUUAAAAUUUAUGUGAUAGUUUUCUUUUUCAUGGAUUCUUGUUUUUGUUUCAUGUUUCUCUUAGUGUUUUGUCAAAUUCAUAUGUUUGAGGUUUAUGUUCAAGGUAUUAGUGAUUGUUAUGUUGAACUAGAAGCAACUCUGUUGCACCUGGUGCUA